Molecule: ribosomal RNA, 253 nt
Filed under: uncultured bacterium
Lineage: Bacteria
Description: partial 16S ribosomal RNA
Rfam family: Bacterial small subunit ribosomal RNA
Source: RNAcentral
UACAGAGGGUGCGAGCGUUAAUCGGAAUUACUGGGCGUAAAGGGCGCGUAGGCGGAUAGAUGAGUGUGAUGUGAAAGCCCCGGGCUUAACCUGGGAAGUGCAUCGCAAACGAUCUAACUGGAGUAUAUGAGAGGGUGGCGGAAUUUCCGGUGUAGCGGUGAAAUGCGUAGAGAUCGGAAGGAACGUCGAUGGCGAAGGCAGCCACCUGGCAUAAUACCGACGCUGAAGCGCGAAAGCGUGGGGAGCGAACAGG